Molecule: unclassified non-coding RNA, 364 nt
Filed under: uncultured bacterium
Lineage: Bacteria
Description: contains 16S-23S intergenic spacer region
Source: RNAcentral
UCCGGUUUGUCACCGGCAGUCUCAUUAGAGUGCCCAACUAAAUGUAGCAACUAAUGACAAGGGUUGCGCUCGUUGCGGGACUUAACCCAACAUCUCACGGCACGAGCUGACGACAGCCAUGCAGCACCCGAGCAGGGUGGUAUUGCUACCUCGUUGGGCUUUCACCCUUCUACUACCUGCAUGUCCAGCCUGGGUAAGGUUCUUCGCGUUGCGUCGAAUUAAACCACACGCUCCGCUGCUUGUGCGGGCCCCCGUCAAUUCCUUUGAGUUUCAAUCUUGCGAUCGUACUUCCCAGGUGGGAUACUUAAUGCUUUCGCUCAGACACCAACUGUGUAUCGCUGAUGUCGAGUAUCCAUCGUUUAGG